AUAAAUGGACAAUAAUGUAUAAAUAUGCUUUUUUUUUACAUUCAGUUUGACAGAUGAAUACCUCAUUACUUCUGUUAUUUGAUCUUUAUGAUUAUUAUAUCAAGAGAGGUUGAGAAUGGGGAAACAAUUUAAUCGAUCAACCAAUCAGAGAGUGAUCUGAUCAAUUUCCAAAAAAUACUGUAGAGAGAAUUACAUCUCUUUCAAAAUUUCCCACAAAAGAAAAAAAAAUCUUUUUAGAUUUAACCUAAUCAUUUGCUCUUGCCCUAGAAUCUCAACCAGUCAGUGACAGUUGGUGAUGGAUUCUUUGACCCCUGGGGUGCCACUGUAACAUAACUGGAAUAUGAGGGCAGGGAGAGAAUGGAGUCUUCCCUCCCUUCUGGGUCAGGACCAGAGUGAGGUGGAGAAAGCAGGUGCUGCAGAACAUUCAGAGCUUGACUUUGGUCAGCCAUGGAAGACACUGCAUCCUGGGCCAUUGACUUUUUUUGUCUUGCCAUUAGACUUCGAUGAGUGGAAGAAAUAGGAUGGGAUCAUUCAGUCAAAGGGUAUAAACAAUCGAUGGACUUUUCUCGCAUGAUUUUAUUGUUUUCUAUAAUGAUUGGAUUAAUUAAUAUCUCUAGCAAAUGGAUCAAUGCUUUAGUCUUCCUCCAACUUUGAUUGAUUGUUGUUGUUUUGAACAUUUGUCUGACUUUGUGACCCCAUUUGGGAUUUCUUGGUAAAGUUACUGGAGUGGCCAUUUCCUUCUACAGCUCAUUUGACAAAUGAAGAAACUGAAACAAAAAGAGUUAAGUGACUUGGCCAGGGUUACACAGCUAGUAAGCUGCUAAAUCUAGAUUUGAACUCAGGUACUCCUGAGUCUAAGUCUGUCACCUAACUUUGACUAUAUUUAACUUUUGCCACUUUUGCCUAGGUCGAUUUAAAUGGCUACCUUAUUGACUUUGGAGAAUGAUGCUUUGCAUCUCUUAGUGUAUAGAAUAAUUUUAUUCUGGCUGGAACCUUGGAUAAUAGGAAUUAGAGCUACAAAGGAGCUUGUAGAUUUCAUUAUAUAGAUGAGGGAAUUGAAUACAGAAAAGCUUCAGUCAUUUUCCCACAGUCACACAACUAGUAAAUAUGCCAGAAUCUGAACGAAAGUCCUUUCAUACCAAUUCAGUAUGAUAGAGUUCCACCAUAACAUUCUGCUUCUAUAGGAGUCUUCAAAUGGGUCCUUCCAUACCAAUCCAGUAUGAUACAGUUCCACCAUAACAUUCUGCUUCUAUAUGAUUCUUCAAAUGUUCUCUCCCUAAAUAGAAACACUUAGAAAUACUUGGCCAAUAUAAGUCUUUUUCUUAUUUCAAAAGUUUUCUAGACCAAAUCUUGAAUGCAAAAAUGUGUCCAAACAUGGAACUAGGCAUAGUAUUAAUAGUCUUUUUUUUUUAAACCCUUACCUUCCAUCUUAGAAUCAAUACUGGGCAUUGGUUCCAAGGUAGCAGAGCUGUAAGGACUGGACAAUGGGAGUUAAGUGAUUAGCCCAGAGCCACAGAGCU
RNAcentral lists this long non-coding RNA (1520 nucleotides) under Monodelphis domestica (gray short-tailed opossum). RNAcentral describes it as "lncRNA (ENSMODG00000045625.1)". The record is from RNAcentral. Lineage: Eukaryota; Metazoa; Chordata; Mammalia; Didelphimorphia; Didelphidae.